UAAGAGACAGCAGCCGCCGCGGGAAAACGUAGGUGGCAAGCGUUGUCCGGAAUUAUUGGGCGUAAAGCGCGCGCAGGCGGAUCAGUUAGUCUGUCUUAAAAGUUCGGGGCUUAACCCCGUGAUGGGAUGGAAACUGCUGAUCUAGAGUAUCGGAGAGGAAAGUGGAAUUCCUAGUGUAGCGGUGAAAUGCGUAGAUAUUAGGAAGAACACCAGUGGCGAAGGCGACUUUCUGGACGAAAACUGACGCUGAGGCGCGAAAGCCAGGGGAGCGAACGGGAUUAGAUACCCGCGUAGUCCCUGUCUCUUAUACA
This 311-nucleotide ribosomal RNA is filed under the name uncultured bacterium. RNAcentral describes it as "partial 16S ribosomal RNA". It matches the Rfam family "Bacterial small subunit ribosomal RNA", at positions 502 to 809 of the family's 1533-position model. The record is from RNAcentral.